CAUUAACAAAUCUUUAUAUGUACAGUGCGUGCAUAUAUAUUUACCCCGAGCCUGGCAGUAAUAUGCCGGCUUUGGUUGGGCAGGUGCGCAAGCACUUGCUCCGGUCGUGUGUGCGCUUCAGGGCCUCCGGGUCUUGAUGGCAUGUGCGCAUGGCCACAUAGACGCUUGUAUGUUUGACAGAGUUACGGUUGUAAAACUAAAAUGACAACUUUUAACAAUGGAUCUCUUGGCUCUUGCAACGAUGAAGAACGCAGUGAAAUGCGAAAAGUAAUGCGAUUUGCAUGAAUCUGUGAGUCAUCAAGUCUUUGAACGCACCUUGCACCGUAUUAGUAAUGGUACGGUAUACCUGUUUGAGAAUCGUAAAACUCUCUUUCCAUCUUCCUUCUUUGGGGGACUGGAAGACUUUGUCGGCUGUGCGCCUAGCGCGCACUCUGAUUAAACGGAGUAAGUCUGGAUCAGGCUGGUGGCCUGGGACAUUGUGUGCUAGAGACGUCGCCUCGGCGCACUGUCUUGUCACAAUGCGUCCUUGGCUAUUCAAAGCUGGCCUGAUACACUGGGCUUUUUCAGUAGGCAGCCCUCCUCUCUCUUAGGAGAGGAGGGGUGGAGGUCUACAACCCCCCUUUUUGAUCUCAAAUCAGGUAAGGCUACCCGCUGAACUUAA
RNAcentral lists this ribosomal RNA (661 nucleotides) under uncultured fungus. RNAcentral's name for it is "eukaryotic LSU rRNA". The stretch from base 207 to 360 matches the Rfam family "5.8S ribosomal RNA". The record is from RNAcentral. Lineage: Eukaryota; Fungi.